This is a long non-coding RNA of Suricata suricatta (meerkat), 814 nucleotides long. RefSeq lists it as uncharacterized. The transcript is spliced from 3 exons. Lineage: Eukaryota; Metazoa; Chordata; Mammalia; Carnivora; Herpestidae. The record is from RefSeq and is a predicted model, not a curated record.
CCCCCCACCGACCCCUACCACACACAUACACACAUACCUCCACCUCCACUUCUGAUGCAGAGCUGUGUGCAGCGGAGCUCGCUGUCAUGGUCGCGCAGCAUGAAGUGGAAAUCCUCCCACGUCAGCUCCUCCUUAUCCUGGAAGCCCGACUCCCGGAACAUGGACUCCACCACCUCAGUCAGCUGGGCCUUGGACAGACAGUUGUUGGAGAUCUCGAUGAAGGACCUGGGGAAGAUACAGCAGUCUGUCAUCUGGCAAGGGAGUCUCAGAACUGGAAGGGCCCACCCCCAUACCGCAUCAUGGUGAAGAAUUCAUCCUUGGAGAGGAAGCCAUUUGCAUCAAGGUCAUACAUGGUGAACAUCAGGCGCGACUUGUCCUCUGGGGAGCCUGAGAAGAGAAAGGAGGAUGCAGGUCAGCUCUGUGCUGGAAGACUGCUGGUUCCUGAAGUGGCCCACUUGCCCCCUACCUUUCAUGAAGACCACCAGGAUGUCCAGAAACUCCCGGAAGGACAGGUAGCCAUUGCCAUCUUUAUCAGCAAGAGAGAACAUGGACUCCACAAACAUGUCCUGGGGCUUGAGGCCGAGGGACUCGGCAAACUCAGCUCUGCUCAGCUCGCAUGUCAGGGCCUCCCGCACCUUCUGUGAGGAGUCCAGGGGCAGAGUCCCUGCAUCUGCCUGGUUGAUGUCUAGCACCUGCACUCAGACAGCAGCAGAAGGAGAGAGAGAAGGAGGAGAAGUAGCUGCUACUGAUCCAGAGGCCACACUUUGAGAACCACUGAUGUAGACUAUCUCACUAAAUCCUCAAAACAACCAGG